RNAcentral lists this ribosomal RNA (441 nucleotides) under uncultured bacterium. RNAcentral describes it as "partial 16S ribosomal RNA". It matches the Rfam family "Bacterial small subunit ribosomal RNA", at positions 338 to 795 of the family's 1533-position model. The record is from RNAcentral.
CCUACGGGUGGCAGCAGUCGGGAAUAUUGCGCAAUGGAGGAAACUCUGACGCAGUGACGCCGCGUGCAGGAAGAAGGUUUUCGGAUUGUAAACUGCUUUAGACAGGGAAGAAAAAAGACAGUACCUGUAGAAUAAGCUCCGGCUAACUACGUGCCAGCAGCCGCGGUUAUACGUAGGGGGCAAGCGUUAUCAGGAUUUAUUGGGUGUAAAGGGAGCGUAGACGGCAGGGAAAGUCUGGAGUGAAAGGCGGGGGCUCAACCCCCGGACUGCUCUGGAAACUGCCAGGCUGGAGUGCAGGAAGGGUAAGUGGAAUUCCUAGUGUAGCGGUGAAAUGCGUAGAUAUUAGGAGGAACACCAGUGGCGAAGGCGGCUUACUGGACUGUAACUGACGUUGAGGCUCGAAAGCGUGGGGAGCAAACAGGAUUAGAUACCCCAGUAGUC